Non-coding RNA from Heterocephalus glaber (naked mole-rat), 1319 nucleotides. NCBI's taxonomy places the organism in Eukaryota, Metazoa, Chordata, Mammalia, Rodentia, Bathyergidae. The record is from RefSeq and is a predicted model, not a curated record.
GAUUGUGGGUCACCCCCCACACAAGCCUGCGAGGACCGUUAAGGUCCAGUCUCCGCACGCACCCACCCACCCACGCCUUCCUGCAUCCAACCUGCAGAGUGGAGGUACCUGCAGCGUGGAGGAGGCUGGGAGACCCUACGCGCUUCACAGCAGGCCUGGUUGGAGAAGCAGCCCGGAAAGUACCGGGGAUUGAACUCAGGACCUUACACUUUUGAGGAAAUGCUACAGCUCUCAGCAAGUGCUACAGCAGACAAAGACCAAGAAGCCAGCAGUACCCAAGGUUUUGAGGCAGUUGUACACCUGUAUCAAUGCCGGCAGUCCUGGCUGGGAUCACUCCCGAAGAGUCAGUCCCUGAAAGCACAGUGUGCAGGGUCUUUGCAGGGUUUGUGAGCAAGCAGGAAAUACAGAAGAGGAGGGCUUGUUGUUAGUUGAUUGGACAGAAAGUUGCAUUGAGUUUCACCCUUUUCACAUAUGGUAGGAACAGGAAGGUGUUACAUGAUUGGUCAAAAAGUUACAUUCUGAUUUCACCUAUUUUACAUAUGGUGGGAAGAGGGUCAAAAGGUUACACCAUUCUGGGGAAACAAACUCAUUGAGACCAAAAGACUUACUGAAGGGAUCUCCCAACUGGGAGCAAGUAUAUUUUCUGCUCUAAUAAUAUUUCUGCCUAGCUCUUGUAUCUAUAAUAAUACUUUCUAAAGGCUAGGGAUACAUAGCUUAGCGGUGGAGUGCUUGCUUGGUACAUGCAACUCCCUGAGUUCAGUGUCCAGCGCUGCAAAAGAAAAAAAAAAAAAGAAAGUCAUCCUUUCUAGAGACUGCUUUUAUUCUCUCUGAAGAAGUAAACCUUGUUGGGAAAGAGUCAUUGUGUGAAAAAAGCUAGUAUCAUCCUUGGGCAGGGGCCUCUUGGUUUAAGAAACCCUUAUAGAAUAGUGAGGGUGACUAGGAGUUCUCAAGAUGAGGGUUAAAAAUAAAAGUUGGAGAAUGGAUGUUUCAUUUUAAUUUGCCGUAUUUCCCAUAGCCUUCAGGUUCUGUGGAAAGAAGGCUUGACUCUUAAGAACUCUUAUAUCCCCAACAAUAGGAAUGCAGCAAGUGCUUGUUGAAUUAAUGAGUAAAAUGGGCCAGUCUGUUUCAAAGACUUGACUUUAUUAAGGACCAUGAGGCUGGGUAUAAGACCACUAAUGGGGGAGAAGGAUUGGAUUUAUUUCUGAAUACAGCAGAGAUUUAUUGAUACCAAGGACAGCUGUGUGGGGUUCAGCAGAUGCCAAACGAGCACGAGCCAGCAGGGGUGUGUGGGGGUGGGGUGGGGUGGGGUGAGCGGAAUG